Molecule: non-coding RNA, 220 nt
Filed under: Pseudothermotoga lettingae TMO
Lineage: Bacteria; Thermotogati; Thermotogota; Thermotogae; Thermotogales; Thermotogaceae
Description: Region of HEARO RNA that is 5' to ORF location
Rfam family: HNH endonuclease-associated RNA and ORF (HEARO) RNA
Source: RNAcentral
GUCAACUACCCACCGCUUGUAGAAGCGGAGGCUUGAAAAAAGCCUGGUUGACUACCUUCAGCCACAUAAGUGGCUACGUUAGACAGGUACACCCUGUGAUGCUGCUCAAGUUCCAGGCUCUGUCGUACAGGUCUAAACAGUCCUGAGGGGUAGGGGCAGUAACCUGCACAUAACAAGCCUGUCUAACAUUGGGGAUGAGCAACCAACAGGGAUAAUCCCU